RNAcentral lists this ribosomal RNA (252 nucleotides) under uncultured bacterium. Its description in RNAcentral is "partial 16S ribosomal RNA". It matches the Rfam family "Bacterial small subunit ribosomal RNA", at positions 524 to 776 of the family's 1533-position model. The record is from RNAcentral.
UACGUAGGGGGCUAGCGUUAUCCGGAAUUACUGGGCGUAAAGGGUGCGUAGGUGGUUUCUUAAGUCAGAGGUGAAAGGCUACGGCUCAACCGUAGUAAGCCUUUGAAACUGGGGAACUUGAGUGCAGGAGAGGAGAGUGGAAUUCCUAGUGUAGCGGUGAAAUGCGUAGAUAUUAGGAGGAACACCAGUUGCGAAGGCGGCUCUCUGGACUGUAACUGACACUGAGGCACGAAAGCGUGGGGAUCGAACAGG